AUACUGCAUGAAAGUUCUGUACUAGUCCAUCUGCUCCAGGGUGUGGCUACAUCAUAAAUGCAGACAGUGCACCUGGUUUCUUCACAGGUAGACUCAUCAAGCAACAGUUUUUGUGCUCUUAUUCCUGAGAACAAUGGCAGAUAACCCAGAUAAACCACCACAGUGUGAUAAGGGCAAGAAAGGAUGCCACGAGGAGGGCAAAGGUAAAGGAAAGGAACAAGGAGAUUGUCAAGGCAAGGGUCAAGGACAUGGACAUGGACAUGGACAUGGACACGGUCAAGGCCAAGGACAAGAAAAAGGAAAGGAAUUCAAAGGCAAAAAAUAAUGUUAAAAAGCUGAUUGAAUAUACUUCUGAAGUCUGUCUUUUCCUUGCAUGAUCAUCAAUAAUGAAAUAAAACAUGUAUUAGUAAUCAACAUAUAUUUGUUAAUUGUCAAUUAACUUAUCAUCAAUAAAGUGUUGGUAUUUAAGAAUGGCUUAAUGAAUCAGAUGUACAAUAAAA
This is a long non-coding RNA of Silurus meridionalis, 500 nucleotides long. RefSeq lists it as uncharacterized. The record is from RefSeq and is a predicted model, not a curated record. The transcript is spliced from 5 exons. Lineage: Eukaryota; Metazoa; Chordata; Actinopteri; Siluriformes; Siluridae.